AUGAGAAGGAUGGAUGACGUUUUGUCAUAGCAAACAUUGCAUUUUCUCCUGCUAAAUCAAAACAGUUAACAUAUGCAGGUUUGUUUUGGUUCCUUCUUCAUGCUUCGUGAAGCUCAGGGUGAAUAAAAUAUUCAGCUGUUCUGGCACCCAAACAUUUCAAACAAUAUCUAUAUGUUCAAAAAGUCUUAUUUUUCAGAGGAACCU
This 204-nucleotide long non-coding RNA is filed under the name Anser brachyrhynchus (Pink-footed goose). RNAcentral describes it as "lncRNA (ENSABRG00000019220.1)". Lineage: Eukaryota; Metazoa; Chordata; Aves; Anseriformes; Anatidae. The record is from RNAcentral.